This 648-nucleotide long non-coding RNA is filed under the name Rattus norvegicus (Norway rat). Its description in RNAcentral is "long non-coding RNA NONRATT031928". Lineage: Eukaryota; Metazoa; Chordata; Mammalia; Rodentia; Muridae. The record is from RNAcentral.
GCCAGCAGCUCCCAGUGACAGCCCAUUUUAUCUGUAGUUAGCUCUCAUUCUUUGAGAGCACUUGCCUAAACGGUGUCAAGAUCUAUUUAUUCUCCUGCUCUGUCUGUUGACAGGUUUUGGUUUCCUCUUCUAGAAUAGCUAAGUUAAACAUUCUUACAUCUGACCACACUUCAAAUAUGGGCCAGUCCACAUACUCUGCAUCCUUCUGCCUGUUUCCCGGCCUCUUUGUUUCUCCUCUUCUUCUACCACAAAUACAGGUGAGCUACUCUGAGAAUUCAACCCUCAAGGAUCAGAGGAAGCAGAGGGGUCAGGGAUACCACGAGAACAGAGCCCACAGAAUUAACUGACCCGGACUGGUGGGAGCUCAUAGAGAUCAUGGAGCCUACAGGAGUCCUCUGCACAUGUCAUGGUUAAGUAGCUUGCUGUUCCUGUAGGAUUUCUAGCAGUGGGAAUGGGGGCUGCCACGAAGUCUUUUGCCUAUUUGUGGGACCCUGUUCCUACUGGGUUGCCUCAUCCAUCUUUGAUGUGAGGUCUGUGCCUGGUCUUACUGUAGCUUGUUCUGUUUUGUUGAUGUCCCUGGAAAGCCUCCUCUUUUCUGAGAGGGAGGGCGUGGGGAUGCGGGGGUGAGGAGCUGGGGUUGGAUCUGAG